GACGAACGCUGGCGGCGUGCUUAACACAUGCAAGUCGAACGGGUGUAGCAAUACAUCAGUGGCAGACGGGUGAGUAACACGUGGGAACCUUCCUAGGGGUACGGAACAACUCAGGGAAACUUGAGCUAAUACCGUAUACGUCCGUGAGGAGAAAGAUUUAUCGCCCUUAGACGGGCCCGCGUCGGAUUAGCUAGUUGGUGGGGUAACGGCCUACCAAGGCGACGAUCCGUAGCUGAUCUUAGAGGAUGAUCAGCCACACUGGGACUGAGACACUGCCCAGACUCCUACGGGAGGCAGCAGUGGGGAAUCUUGGACAAUGGGCGCAAGCCUGAUCCAGCCAUGCCGCGUGGGUGAAGAAGGUCUUCGGAUUGUAAAGCUCUUUUGCCAGGGACGAUAAUGACGGUACCUGGAGAAUAAGCCCCGGCAAACUUCGUGCCAGCCGCCGCAGUAA
RNAcentral lists this ribosomal RNA (451 nucleotides) under uncultured bacterium. RNAcentral describes it as "partial 16S ribosomal RNA". It matches the Rfam family "Bacterial small subunit ribosomal RNA", at positions 28 to 523 of the family's 1533-position model. The record is from RNAcentral.